Molecule: microRNA precursor, 102 nt
Filed under: Marmota monax (woodchuck)
Lineage: Eukaryota; Metazoa; Chordata; Mammalia; Rodentia; Sciuridae
Source: RNAcentral
UAUGGAUAUAUGUGUGUGUGUGUGUGUGUGUGUGUGUGUGUGUAUAUAUAUAUAUAUAUAUAUAUAUACACACACACAUAUUCACAUACACACAUGCAUAUA